Molecule: ribosomal RNA, 274 nt
Filed under: uncultured bacterium
Lineage: Bacteria
Description: partial 16S ribosomal RNA
Rfam family: Bacterial small subunit ribosomal RNA
Source: RNAcentral
AUACGGAGGGUGCAAGCAUUAUUCGGAAUCACUGGGCGUAAAGGACGCGUAGGCGGGUUGGCAAGUCAGAUGUGAAAUCCUACAGCUUAACUGUAGAACUGCAUUUGAAACUGCUAACCUAGAGUAUGGGAGGGGGAGAUGGAAUUAGUGGUGUAGGGGUAAAAUCCGUAGAUAUCACUAGGAAUACCGAAAGCGAGGGCGAUCUCCUGGAACAUAACUGACGCUAAGGCGUGAAAGCGUGGGGAGCAAACAGGAUUAGAGACCCUAGUAGUCC